This is a long non-coding RNA of Triticum aestivum (bread wheat), 1522 nucleotides long. RefSeq lists it as uncharacterized. The record is from RefSeq and is a predicted model, not a curated record. The transcript has 3 exons. Lineage: Eukaryota; Viridiplantae; Streptophyta; Magnoliopsida; Poales; Poaceae.
GUGUCUUUUCCAUGUCGUCUACGUCUCCUCCUCCCUCUUCAUCUGCAUGCUACUAGGCAACAUCCCGCCUUCUCUUACACACAGUUCUCAUGCACCUGCUUAGGAUCUCCAUGCUCUCACCGUAGGUAGGACUUCCUGGCUGGCCGGCAGCGCCUGGCUGGUCGCCGCUGCCGGUGUCAGGACUGCCCCUCUGCUAUGUUGUUACAGAUGAUCUUGCCUCUACACCAUGCAACUCACAUCGCCCUUUGUUUCCUUUAACGGAGGCAUCCAACGGAAUUCUAUGUGAUGUCUUUCUCUGUACCAUGUCUCACUGCUAGAAGAGGAGACCCCAGGUUCAUGCCCCUAUUGCUGCAGAUCGAAUCCACGCCCCUGUUGCUGUAGAUCCAGACCAUGCCCUUUUUGCUGCAGAUCCAGAUGACAAAGGAACAGGAAGUUGCGCAGUCAAAAGAUAGAGAAUUCAAUGCUCCCAAUAUUGCUGCCAGAACCAACAAGACAUAAUUUACAACUAUUGCGGUAGAUUGUGGUGCGUGGUUGAUUUCUCGGUACAGAAUAACGUGUUGCAUGCAAUAGUAUAGGUUGAAAAUGGAAGGAUGGCAAAUUAACGACAGAUCAACUGCACUAGGUACGUCAUGCUGAGAGUUACAGGAAGGAUGACAGGAUGUGAGUAAGCCUGUGAUGCGUGAUGUUGCUGACAACGACAUCAGAAGGCUUUCGUCAGCGGCCAAUGGUACAGGUUAUAUGAUUCGAUUGUUGCUGCAUUUUAUUCUUUGUAUCUUAAAUUACUCAUUUGCAAAAAAGAAGUAGCUAAGUUACUCAAGUGCUCCUUUAUGGUUUGUCUUGAAAGCAAGAUUGGUUGUCAUGCUUCAUAAUAUUUUGACACAGCCAGUCAAACAUAGAGAAGUCACCUCUGCCUUGCCGUAGCAACAACUGAUGAAGUUUGUCUUUUUAGAUGCCCCAAAAAUGCUUAGGGUUAAUUAUCCUUUUGCCCUCAGUGGUGUCCAUGUGCUCAGUUUUGCCCUCAGAUGCGAAUUGUGCUCAGUUUUGCCCCUAGUCCGUGCGCACCGACUCGUUCCGUGAACUCUGCCGUCUCCGUCAGGUCAACCUUUUGACUCCGCCCUUACAGGUGGGACCAGGCGACAGAAACGGCCAAUUUUAUUCAGACCGUUGCACGCGUGGCUUGUGGGACCCAGCAGAGAGCCGUUGGCGGGUGUGCUAUAUAAGCGGGUGACAGCGGCGGUGACCACGGCGACAGAGAGCACCGCAGUGAGCACGGCGAGAGAGAGAGAGCAUGGCGGCGGGAAGCUAGCUGUAGAGGGCACGGCGGUGGGAAGCUAGCAGUGGAGGGCGCGGCGGCGUUGAGAUCCCUUCGGCUCCGAGCUCCAUGUCUUCCUCAAGCUCCCGCGCCACCUCGCGGAUGCAGAGCCGGGCGCGUGUGGACAUGCCUGUCUUCGUCUGUCUGUGGUGCCGGGCGGGCGUUGAUCGGAGGGUUUCUCAGACACCGAGGAACCAGAAUCAUCCGUUC